RNAcentral lists this unclassified non-coding RNA (519 nucleotides) under uncultured Glomus. RNAcentral's name for it is "SSU rRNA". It matches the Rfam family "Eukaryotic small subunit ribosomal RNA", at positions 569 to 1092 of the family's 1831-position model. The record is from RNAcentral. Lineage: Eukaryota; Fungi; Glomeromycota; Glomeromycetes; Glomerales; Glomeraceae.
AGCAGCCGCGGUAAUUCCAGCUCCAAUAGCGUAUAUUAAAGUUGCUGCAGUUAAAAAGCUCGUAGUUGAAUUUCGGGAUCAAUAUGUUGGUCGUGCCUCGGUACGUACUAGCUUAUUGGUUUCUUCCUUCUGACGAACCAUAAUGUCAUUUAUUUGGUGUUAUGGGGAAUCAGGACUGUUACUUUGAAAAAUUAGAGUGUUUAAAGCAGGCUCACGCUUGAAUACAUUAGCAUGGAAUAAUGAAAUAGGACGUUUGAUUCUAUUUUGUUGGUUUCUAGGAUCGACGUAAUGAUUAAUAGGGAUAGUUGGGGGCAUUAGUAUUCAAUUGUCAGAGGUGAAAUUCUUGGAUUUAUUGAAGACUAACUACUGCGAAAGCAUUUGCCAAGGAUGUUUUCAUUAAUCAAGAACGAAAGUUAGGGGAUCGAAGACGAUCAGAUACCGUCGUAGUCUUAACCAUAAACUAUGCCGACUAGGGAUCGGAUGAUGUUAAUUUUUUAAUGACUCAUUCGGCGCCUUAAC